Molecule: ribosomal RNA, 303 nt
Filed under: uncultured bacterium
Lineage: Bacteria
Description: partial 16S ribosomal RNA
Rfam family: Bacterial small subunit ribosomal RNA
Source: RNAcentral
AGCAGUAGCCGCGGGAAUACGAAGGGGGCUAGCGUUGUUCGGAAUUACUGGGCGUAAAGCGCACGCAGGCGGCUCGAUAAAUUAGAAGUGAAAGCCUUGGGCUUAACCUGAGAAUUGCUCUUAAGACUGUCGAGCUAGAAUCCAGAAGAGGGUAGUGGAAUUCCGAGUGUAGAGGUGAAAUUCGUAGAUAUUCGGAAGAACACCAGUGGCGAAGGCGACUACCUGGUCUGGCAUUGACGCUCAUGUGCGAAAGCGUGGGGAGCAAACAGGAUUAGAUACCCCUGUAGUCCCUGUCUCUUAUAC